AUUUCAUUCACUCCGCAUACUCAAUCCUAUAGACACCCUUUUAAUUCUUCAUCACUGACGUAACUCGAUUUCACAAAACAGUCAAGAGUAAUCAAAUCACUUCAUUAAAAAUCCCGAUUCACUAUUACAACACUGACUUUAGCAACAAUUGCCUCAGUCUUCCCAAAACCCUAUGAAGAAAAAAAACCCAAUUCACUAUCUUUUUUCCCCGCCCGAAGCAUGAAGCUAGCUCUCUGAUCCUUCUCUAAAACUUCCCCAAAAACUUUUUCUCCCC
RNAcentral lists this long non-coding RNA (274 nucleotides) under Physcomitrium patens. RNAcentral describes it as "long non-coding RNA (PPAT_LNC004798)". Lineage: Eukaryota; Viridiplantae; Streptophyta; Bryopsida; Funariales; Funariaceae. The record is from RNAcentral.